RNAcentral lists this long non-coding RNA (1564 nucleotides) under Mustela putorius furo (domestic ferret). Its description in RNAcentral is "lncRNA (ENSMPUG00000032056.1)". Lineage: Eukaryota; Metazoa; Chordata; Mammalia; Carnivora; Mustelidae. The record is from RNAcentral.
AUGAAGCUACAGAAAUUACAGUUUGUCAGAAGCAGCAUUUGGGACAAACCCACACAGAAUUCAAAGAAUGAUCUGAUAAAAGCCCUCAUGGUUAUACAAUGUUGCCCCGAGCUUCCUCCAAAUUCACCCGAAAUUCUCCUGCGGAGCUACCCUUCCAGACAUGUUUGGUGGCUGUCUCUUCUCGGGAUAUCGGGAGCAGGCUCCACACCCAACAUGGGAUUUGAACUCAUGAUCUCAAGAUUGAGAGUCUCAUGCUCUACUGAACCAGCCAGACACCACUCGUCUAUUUAUUUCUGUUCCUCAUUUUUACCCAGGUCGACGGAAACCUGGCGAGGAAGGCUGACCCACCACCAACAGCUCUUGAAGUCAUCUCUAGGUUCACUGUUGAUUUUGGUUAGCUUUGGUCAGCGGCUACUACUUCAGAGCAUUAAUCAUUUAUAGAGCUUUCUGUGGCCUGCCCGGGGCUUUACAGACCUCUUCAGGCCUUGCACCACCACCGCCUUCAUUCAGCUCUGCUCACCUCUAGCAGGAGAGCACGGACACUCGCGUACUGCCCCAAAGCCACAGCAACCCCCUUACAGGCACCCUCCUUUACCCCUGGCAGGGCGCUGACUUGUAGAUUUGUCCUGUGCUAGGCCAUAUGCUCAGGGAAAGGACGCCCUCCCUAAUCCUACCAUGUGAAUUUUGACUGGCUUAAGCCCAUCAUGGUGGUCCAGUUCCCUUGCUGGUACUGGAUUAAGCAGGGCAUGGGACACACUUCUGGGUUCAUGAAAUGGAAGGCAAAGUCAACUGGGGAGCUUCAGGGAAAGUGUUGUUUGCUCUUAAAAAUGGAAUAUUAGAGAUAUGAACAAAGGGAAUAGGUCCUUUUUUGCCUUGGGGUGUGACUGUAUGAAGAUGUGAUUCCCGGAGUGGCCGCAACCAUGUUGUGACCAGGAGACGAUGAGCCUGAAGACAAGACCCAAAACACUGUGAAGAGGCAGAAUGGAAAGAUGGAAGAACCCGGGUCCUUGCUGACAUAUCUCCCCAGUCACACUGGAACCCCACUAUUGCCUUUCAUCUCAAAUUCCCCCAGGCUGCUUCCCUAUUUCUUACAUGAUGGCCCAGUUUGGGGUUAGAUAAGGAAGGAACAAUAACAAAGCCCAAACAACUUACAACCUAUAUACCUUUUCCAUUCUUUGAAAAACACAGUUCUCUGGGGCACCUGGGUGGCUCCGUGGGUUAAAGCCUCUGCCUUCAGCUCAGGUCAUGAUCCCGGGGUCCUGGGAUCCAGCCCCGCAUCGGGCUCUCUGCUCGGCGGGGGCGCCUCAUGGGUUAAAGCCUCUGCCUUCAGCUCAGGUCAUGAUCCCGGGGUCCUGGGAUCCAGCCCCGCAUCGGGCUCUCUGCUCGGCGGGGGCCUGCUUCCUCCUCUCUCUCUGCCUGCCGCUCUGCCUACCUGUGAUCUCUGUCUGUCAAAUAACUGAAUAAAAAAUCUUUAAAAAAAAAAAAAAAGGAAAAAAACCCGCACAGUUCUGUCCUCCCCCCAGGCCACCAAAACUCAGAAGUGAUGAGUCAGAAUUUGGCGCCA